This 557-nucleotide long non-coding RNA is filed under the name Homo sapiens (human). RNAcentral describes it as "HSALNT0059531". The record is from RNAcentral. Lineage: Eukaryota; Metazoa; Chordata; Mammalia; Primates; Hominidae.
AGAGGUUACUGUGAGUUUGACAGUUAAGGAAAAUUACACGGAAAAGUUGGGAUUUAGGCAAAACCAUGAUAUAUAGAUAAUAUUCCAGACAAGCUGGGGGAGAUAUUUCAGUGAUGGGGAACGGUGUGAGCAAAACUGCAGAGAAGGAAAAGAAUAUGGAACAGUUAUGGGAAAGGAGUUAGAGAUGUUUGGCUAAUGAAAGACUCCAGUGCCUACACACUUGAAACACAAGAGUCCAAAUUCCUAGUGAGGUCACAAUUCAGAUAAUAAAAACAUUCUGAGGAUUUGUUUUUCUCCUACCAAAAAAGAAAGCCAAAGUUUGAUUCAAGGUGUCACAAACUGAGAUAUCAGCAGUAAAGGACCAAUGCAAAAUAGGCAAGCUAACAGCUAAGCAGCAUGCUCCACCAUAGAUCUUAAGGAGAUGAAUAAGCAGAUGCACACACUCACAACCUAAAAACAAGACAGAAGCACUGAUACUGAGCAGCUCACCAUCAGUCCAUUUAUUUCCAUUUCAUUCUGUUCAGAGCCAGUUAAAAAUGAGCAUGAUCUAGAAGGCU